UACGAAGGGGGCUAGCGUUGCUCGGAAUUACUGGGCGUAAAGGGCGCGUAGGCGGAUAGUUUAGUCAGAGGUGAAAGCCCAGGGCUCAACCUUGGAAUUGCCUUUGAUACUGGCUAUCUUGAGUUCGGGAGAGGUGAGUGGAAUGCCGAGUGUAGAGGUGAAAUUCGUAGAUAUUCGGCGGAACACCAGUGGCGAAGGCGACUCACUGGCCCGAUACUGACGCUGAGGGGCGAAAGCGUGGGGAGCAAACAGG
RNAcentral lists this ribosomal RNA (253 nucleotides) under uncultured bacterium. Its description in RNAcentral is "partial 16S ribosomal RNA". It matches the Rfam family "Bacterial small subunit ribosomal RNA", at positions 524 to 776 of the family's 1533-position model. The record is from RNAcentral.